UACAACUACUUAUUCAUACAAAUCAUUAUAAUUUCAUAAGUAAUAGCUACAUACUAUACUAUUAUUCAUAACUGGUUAGAGAUUCUAAUACCCGUAACAUUUUGGAAAAGCAUAAUGUUAUUUAUCUUUCUUAAAAAAAUCUUCUACUCUAAGACUUAAAUUAUCAAAUAAAUUUAUCACCACUAGAUUUUUCUCUAAAAAGCUUACCCAUCUAAUCCUACAUUUAUUUUUAUAUACUGUUAAAAUAAGUAAAUUAUUACUAUUCCCCUUUCCAACUCGACCCUCUUUAAGGAGCCUGUUUAACAAAAACAUAGCCUACUAUUUAACUUAGGUACAACCCUGCCCUCUGACUUUUAACAGCCGCGGUAUCCUAACCGUGCUAAGGUAGCAUAAUCACUUGCCUAUUAAUUAUAGGCUAGAAUGAACGGGAUCACUCACUUAAACUUAUUUUUAUUUAAAUUUAAAUUAAACUUUAAGUCAAAAUACUAAAUUAAAAAGAAAGACAAAAAGACCCUGAAAACUAUUAGAAAUAAUUAGUUGGGGCAACUAAAGACCACUCUAGCGUCUAUUUUUUUUUAACUCUUAAAAUCUAAAGUAUCCAGUUACUUCAGGGAUAACAGACUAAUUUUAUUAUUUAGACCCAAUAAAUAAUAAAGAUUGGCACCUCGAUGUUGGCUUAUAUUUCCUUCAUAUAGCAACAUAUAUAGAAGGCAGCU
RNAcentral lists this ribosomal RNA (716 nucleotides) under Stygocapitella sp. 222_11. RNAcentral describes it as "partial large subunit ribosomal RNA". The record is from RNAcentral. Lineage: Eukaryota; Metazoa; Annelida; Polychaeta; Parergodrilidae.